GCCGGGAGGAGGAAGGGAAGGACCGCCGGCCGCUCCUCGGGACCCGCCCGCCCGCGCCCGAUCCCAUUUCGUCCCCUCUGAGGACCCUGAGCGAUCUGCCCGGGAUCCAGUCCUCCACGGGAGAAGCAGAACUGCCAAAGAGACAAGAUGCACUUUCUGUUGGAUGCUGUCACCGCGCUGAAU
This 183-nucleotide long non-coding RNA is filed under the name Naja naja (Indian cobra). RNAcentral's name for it is "lncRNA (ENSNNAG00000017041.1)". The record is from RNAcentral. Lineage: Eukaryota; Metazoa; Chordata; Lepidosauria; Squamata; Elapidae.